RNAcentral lists this ribosomal RNA (253 nucleotides) under uncultured bacterium. Its description in RNAcentral is "partial 16S ribosomal RNA". It matches the Rfam family "Bacterial small subunit ribosomal RNA", at positions 524 to 776 of the family's 1533-position model. The record is from RNAcentral.
UACGUAGGGUGCAAGCGUUAAUCGGAAUUACUGGGCGUAAAGCGUGCGCAGGCGGUGAUGUAAGUCAGAUGUGAAAUCCCCGGGCUCAACCUGGGAACUGCAUUUGUGACUGCCUCGCUGGAGUACGGCAGAGGGGGAUGGAAUUCCGCGUGUAGCAGUGAAAUGCGUAGAUAUGCGGAGGAACACCGAUGGCGAAGGCAAUCCCCUGGGCAUGUACUGACGCUCAUGCACGAAAGCGUGGGGAGCAAACAGG